UGCAGUCGAGCGGUAACAGGAAUUAGCUUGCUAAUUCGCUGACGAGCGGCGGACGGGUGAGUAAUGCCUGGGAAUAUGCCUUAGUGUGGGGGAUAACUAUUGGAAACGAUAGCUAAUACCGCAUAACGUCUUCGGACCAAAGAGGGGGACCUUCGGGCCUCUCGCGCUAAGAUUAGCCCAGGUGGGAUUAGCUAGUUGGUGGGGUAAAGGCCCACCAAGGCAACGAUCCCUAGCUGGUCUGAGAGGAUGAUCAGCCACACUGGAACUGAGACACGGUCCAGACUCCUACGGGAGGCAGCAGUGGGGAAUAUUGCACAAUGGGGGAAACCCUGAUGCAGCCAUGCCGCGUGUAUGAAGAAGGCCUUCGGGUUGUAAAGUACUUUCAGUCGUGAGGAAGGGUUUGUAGUUAAUAGCUGCAUGCCUUGACGUUAGCGACAGAAGAAGCACCGGCUAACUCCGUGCCAGCAGCCGCGGUAAUACGGAGGGUGCGAGCGUUAAUCGGAAUUACUGGGCGUAAAGCGCAUGCAGGCGGUCUGUUAAGCAAGAUGUGAAAGCCCGGGGCUCAACCUCGGAACCGCAUUUUGAACUGGCAGACUAGAGUCUUGUAGAGGGGGGUAGAAUUUCAGGUGUAGCGGUGAAAUGCGUAGAGAUCUGAAGGAAUACCGGUGGCGAAGGCGGCCCCCUGGACAAAGACUGACGCUCAGAUGCGAAAGCGUGGGGAGCAAACAGGAUUAGAUACCCUGGUAGUCCACGCCGUAAACGAUGUCUACUUGAAAGGUUGUGGCCUUGAGCCGUGG
RNAcentral lists this ribosomal RNA (797 nucleotides) under bacterium W15S92. RNAcentral's name for it is "bacterial SSU rRNA". It matches the Rfam family "Bacterial small subunit ribosomal RNA", at positions 56 to 842 of the family's 1533-position model. The record is from RNAcentral.